UACGUAGGGAGCAAGCGUUGUCCGGAAUCAUUGGGCGUAAAGCGCGUGUAGGCGGUCCGGUAAGUCCGCUGUGAAAGUCGGGGGCUCAACCCUCGGAUGCCGGUGGAUACUGUCGGGCUUGAGUACGGAAGAGGCGAGUGGAAUUCCUGGUGUAGCGGUGAAAUGCGCAGAUAUCAGGAGGAACACCAAUUGCGAAGGCAGCUCGCUGGGACGUUACUGACGCUGAGACGCGAAAGCGUGGGGAGCGAACAGG
This 253-nucleotide ribosomal RNA is filed under the name uncultured bacterium. RNAcentral describes it as "partial 16S ribosomal RNA". It matches the Rfam family "Bacterial small subunit ribosomal RNA", at positions 524 to 776 of the family's 1533-position model. The record is from RNAcentral.